Long non-coding RNA from Oreochromis aureus, 282 nucleotides. RefSeq lists it as uncharacterized. The record is from RefSeq and is a predicted model, not a curated record. The transcript is spliced from 2 exons. NCBI's taxonomy places the organism in Eukaryota, Metazoa, Chordata, Actinopteri, Cichliformes, Cichlidae.
UUUAGUCGUUACUGAAUUUUAACACUGUGGGUGUUAAAUUAGACCACGUCUUCAUUUCCUGUGGAGCAGCGCAUUUCAGAAUCUUCGCUCGCCAUCUUUUCUUGGUGCUGCGGAGCUGCCCUCAGAUUCAGACCUCAGCACCACCCAGUGACAGCAGACAGAUCAUCCAACAUGUUCACAUGUUAACUGCAAAAUGAACUGAUGAAAACAGUGCAAAGGUUAAAAUACCACACGUGCUGUAGGGAAAGCUGCAGCUUUAUUGAUAAAGUUAAAGACAAAAAA